GUCGUUAUCGUAUAGUGGUAAAUAUUCCCGUCUGUAACGCGGGUUAUGCGGGUUACCCGGGUUCGAUUCCCGACAGCGGUG
Molecule: transfer RNA, 81 nt
Filed under: Zostera marina
Lineage: Eukaryota; Viridiplantae; Streptophyta; Magnoliopsida; Alismatales; Zosteraceae
Rfam family: tRNA
About the family: Transfer RNA (tRNA) molecules are approximately 80 nucleotides in length. Their secondary structure includes four short double-helical elements and three loops (D, anti-codon, and T loops).
Source: Rfam by way of RNAcentral